Long non-coding RNA from Oreochromis aureus, 222 nucleotides. RefSeq lists it as uncharacterized. The record is from RefSeq and is a predicted model, not a curated record. The transcript has 3 exons. NCBI's taxonomy places the organism in Eukaryota, Metazoa, Chordata, Actinopteri, Cichliformes, Cichlidae.
GAGAAAAGACAGGCCACUCCUGCAUGACCUGAACGCUUGAAGAGCUGAACAGCUUUGCAAAGAGUCACAGAGAGAAGAAACCCAACAGUUGGCGUCAUGCUUUUAAUCAUCAUCAAACCGGAAGAAAGAGAUUUCAGGAAAACUGAAGUGACACGGCACACCCAAAUAAUUACUGUCAAAUAUUAUCAUAUUCACACUGCCUGUGUUUUCUUUGGUUGUAAU